RNAcentral lists this long non-coding RNA (423 nucleotides) under Mustela putorius furo (domestic ferret). RNAcentral describes it as "lncRNA (ENSMPUG00000028766.1)". Lineage: Eukaryota; Metazoa; Chordata; Mammalia; Carnivora; Mustelidae. The record is from RNAcentral.
GGGGGCUGGGGCACAACAGCUCAACCCUUCCGUGGGUGGGAGUGGGUGACAGUGAGCCUUCCCCUCCCUGUCCCUCAUGCCACUGCCCGGGACAGUGGGAGGAACGGUUACCUCCUAGGGCUACUGUGUGUCUCUCUUUGUCUCAAAGAGCCUUGAGAGACAGCAGGAGAGAGAUUUAAUUGCAGCCUGCCUGAGAACCUCAGAGGCACUGACCUUCCUGGCCACACCCCAAGCUUGGCACGCUUUAAUUAAGAACAGAGUGCUGAUUGGAGGAGCCCCGUCAGCCUGUGCCUGCGUCUUUCUGCUCCUCUGCCUGAGGUCCCUCUCCUGUGUCAGAAGAGCCUACCAGCGUGGAGGUUUAUUGAUUCUGUACACCUGCCUCCCUCCAGCAGCCUCCUUUCAAUAAAGGAUGGGAGUUGCAGC